RNAcentral lists this non-coding RNA (274 nucleotides) under Triticum aestivum (bread wheat). RNAcentral's name for it is "Bacterial small subunit ribosomal RNA". It matches the Rfam family "Bacterial small subunit ribosomal RNA", at positions 250 to 537 of the family's 1533-position model. Lineage: Eukaryota; Viridiplantae; Streptophyta; Magnoliopsida; Poales; Poaceae. The record is from Rfam by way of RNAcentral.
UGGCGGAGCACCUAUCGCCCUGGCGCAGCACUCUAAAAUGCAUGUUGGGUUGGGCCAGCAAGAAGAGUUCGACUAGGGCCUGGACUCCCAUGGGGGGGCAACAAUGGGGAAUCUUGGACAAUGGGCAAAAGCCCGAUCCAGCAAUAUCGCGUGAGUGCAGAAGGGCAAUGCCGCUUGUAAAGCUCUUUCAUCGAGUGCACGAUCAUGACAGGACUCGAGGAAGAAGCCCAGGCUAACUCCAUGCCAGCAGCCGCGGUAAGACACUACUAGGAAA